UCAGGAUGAACGCUGGCGGCGUGCCUAAUACAUGCAAGUCGAACGCACAGCGAAAGGUGCUUGCACCUUUCAAGUGAGUGGCGAACGGGUGAGUAACACGUGGAUAACCUACCUCAAGGUUGGGGAUAACAUUUGGAAACAGAUGCUAAUACCGAAUAAAACUUCGUAUCGCAUGAUACAAGGUUAAAAGGCGCUACGGCGUCACCUAGAGAUGGAUCCGCGGUGCAUUAGUUAGUUGGUGGGGUAAAGGCCUACCAAGACAAUGAUGCAUAGCCGAGUUGAGAGACUGAUCGGCCACAUUGGGACUGAGACACGGCCCAAACUCCUACGGGAGGCUGCAGUAGGGAAUCUUCCACAAUGGGCGAAAGCCUGAUGGAGCAACGCCGCGUGUGUGAUGAAGGCUUUCGGGUCGUAAAGCACUGUUGUAUGGGAAGAACAGCUAGAGUAGGGAAUGACUUUAGUUUGACGGUACCAUACCAGAAAGGGACGGCUAAAUACGUG
This 501-nucleotide ribosomal RNA is filed under the name uncultured bacterium. Its description in RNAcentral is "bacterial SSU rRNA". It matches the Rfam family "Bacterial small subunit ribosomal RNA", at positions 24 to 507 of the family's 1533-position model. The record is from RNAcentral.